AUGGACGUCCUGGCGCCGCUGUCCCGCGCGCAUAUCGGCUCGCCGGCCGCGGCGGCCGCCUCCGCUCGCCCAUACGUUCUUCAUCGUUUCAACCGGAGGACCAUCCGCCGGCGAGGCGCCGGCCUGCGCUGCCGCCGGCGCCUGCUCAGCGCGCGGGGAGAGCGCCCGGCUCCGGAUGACGAUGAGGACGACGGGGAGGUGGCUGGGUUCGACGCAGCGGUGGCGCUAUUCAACGGCGGGGAGUACCACGCGUGCCACGACGUGGUAGAGGAGCUCUGGUACAGCGCCGAGGACCCCGGCCGGACGCUCCUCCACGGCGUCCUCCAGUGCGCCGUAGGCUUCCACCACCUCUUCAACCAGAACCACCGCGGCGCCAUGAUGGAGCUCGGGGAAGGCCUCUGCAAGCUCCGCCGCCUGCGCCUGGAGGACGACGGCGACCAAGGGCCCUUCUCUCGAUUCCGGGACGAGGUCGCCGCCGUGCUCAGCUUCCUCUACCGCACCCAGAAGGAGCUCGCGGCAUGUAACGACGAGCUGUGCUUGGCCAUGGAUGGCUCCGCGACCUCGUACCAGCUGCUCGGCGACUUCGCUGCCGGGCAGCGGCUGUACCGGCAGGGAGUCGACGCGGACGGCGUCCCGAGCAUCCUCUUCUCCGGCCGCUCAUCCGGCGACUACCUCGCUCCUCCAUGCACGGUGAAACUUCCAUCGCUACACGCCACGGAGCAGCACCUCGCGGCGCUCCAGCGCGCGCACGAGUACUCGUAG
Molecule: ribosomal RNA, 762 nt
Filed under: Triticum aestivum (bread wheat)
Lineage: Eukaryota; Viridiplantae; Streptophyta; Magnoliopsida; Poales; Poaceae
Description: partial small subunit ribosomal RNA
Source: RNAcentral